This 1207-nucleotide ribosomal RNA is filed under the name Rhipicephalus simus. Its description in RNAcentral is "16S ribosomal RNA". The record is from RNAcentral. Lineage: Eukaryota; Metazoa; Arthropoda; Arachnida; Ixodida; Ixodidae.
UUAUAAUAAAAUUAAAAUAAUUUAAUCAAUUUAAUAAAUUUAUUUUAUUUUUAUUUUAUUUUUAAUAAACUGAAAAGGAAUUUAUUAUUAUAAUUUAAUAGAAAAAUUAAUGUACCUUUUGCAUUAGGGGUUUUUAAAAAAAAUAAAAUUUUAUUUUUCUCGAAAUAUUUUGAGCUAAAAUUUAAUUUUUCUAAUGUUUCAAUAUUAAAAUAAAAUAAAUUUUAGAGGUGAAAUUCUUAUCAAAAAAUAUAAUAUCUAGUUAAAAAAAAUUAAUUAAAUAUUAUUUUGUAAAUAUUAAUUUAUUUUUUAAAACUACAAAAAAAAGUUUUUGGGAUAAGCUAAAAAUUAUUAAAUUUAUAAUAUUUUAAAAAAUAAUAAAAGAAUUAAAAUUUUUCUAUUUAUUUUUAUAAAUAAAUUAAGUUAAAUUGAAAUAAAAGAAUUUAUUUUUUUAAAUUAAAUUUAAUUAAAAAUUUAAAAAAAAAUGAAAAUAUUAGUAAAAAAUUUUUUUUUUAAUUAUUAAUAAUUAAUUAAAAAUUAAUUUAAUUUAAUUUAAUUUUUAAGAACUAGGCAAUUAUUUUUUUUGACUGUUUAAUAAAAACAACGCAUUUAGAUAAACAAUAAAUGCAAAUCCUGCUCAAUGAAAUUUUUUUUAAAUUGCUGUAGUAUUUUGACUAUACAAAGGUAUUGAAAUAAGAUUUUAAUUGAAUGCUAAGAGAAUGGAAUAUCAAAAAACAACUUUCUUAAAAUUAAAAAUUGAAAUUUUUUUAAUUUGUGUAAAAACAAUUAUAAAAAUUAAAGACAAGAAGACCCUAAGAAUUUUUAAAAUUUAAAUAAUACAUUUUUUGUUUUAAUUAAAUUUUAACUGGGGCGGUUAAAAAAUAUUAAAAACUUUUUAAUUUAAAAAUGACCCAUUAUUAAUGAAAAUAUGAUUAAAUACUCUAGGGAUAACAGCGUUAUAUUUUUUGAUAGAUCAUAUUGACAAAAAAGUUUGCGACCUCGAUGUUGGAUUAGGAUACUUUUUUAAUGAAGAUAUUAAAAUAAGAAGUUUGUUCAACUUUUAAAUUCCUACAUGAUCUGAGUUUAGACCGAUGAGAAUCAGGUUGGAUUCUAUCUUAAUAAAAAACAAAUUUUAUUUAGUACGAAAGGAAUUUUAAAAUCUAAUUUUUAGUUUUAUUUAUUUAUUUUAUUUGCAUCAAUUUUUGUAAUU